GUCACCAGCUAAGGAGCCAUAUUCUGAGCUUAGUGACCAGAGGGCCACUACAUCAGAGGCACCUUGGACCAGAUCCCACCGCACUCAGGUCUCUCAAGCACCUUCCUCUGAGCCUCAGGUGUGCCUCCCAGCCUACAUUGUGAUUCCAGCAGUGCAAGGAGUGCACAAGACAAGAGCCCAGGUAGCAUUGACCUGCCCAUCAACAGACUAGAGGCUUGGUCCUUUAAGGAUUGCAGUUCUCACAAAUGAGUGGAGGAAGCUAGGAGAGGUGGACUGGAGGCAGAGGUUGAAAAGGCCUUUGCCCUUUAGCCUUUGUUUGGGCACGUUGCUCACUCAGAGCUGUCUAUGGAGCUUCAAGCGCUGCCCCUUCACUGAACUGGAACAGGGCAAAGGCAAGGACAUGGUGUUUGGUGCUGCUUCACCAGCACUUUCCCAGGUGGGUGGGAUCAAGUUUCACAGGUGGGUGGGACCACCCACCCAUCAAUCACUGGGUGGCAUGAUGACACCCAAUGAUUGGCAGGUGGAUAGCCUUACCCAUGUCAAAGUUGGCCUACAGGAUGGGAGGAGAUAAGGAUCUGGCCCACGGGGAUGGGGAUGUUCCUGCAUCCACCUUAAAUAAAAGGGCUAGAGAUCAAUUAAUUUUUAUUGAAAACUAGAAAUUUAUAGACUGGACCUGAAAGAUAUUUGGAAAGUUAGCUCCUUUCUCUGGUGGCUGAAGCCUUGAGCUGUUGUAAUAAGCAGUAAUAUCCAUUUCCUGGAAGUGUUUGAGUUUUGCAUGUUUUAUCACAAACUGUAAUCCCAUAUCCUGCUUUAUAACAUGAGAUAGGGUAGUUCUAAUGUUUAGGCCAGCCUUUGGGUUGCAACCGAGCCAAAGUUAAACUUGUUACACACCAUUGAUAGCCAUUUGAGAGAGUUAACAUGUACUUAACCCUCUUGAUGACGGUAUCAGAAAAUUAAUGUGUUUUAUUUACUUAGUCAACUGAGGGGCAGCUUACUAUAUAAGAAAUAUCUCAAAGUGGUUUGCAAUUAGGGGUCAAGGAUUCUAAAUCAGCAAGGAGACAAGGACUCUAGAACAUACUGUAGGCUCAAUGCAUAUAUACAAAUUAUAUAAGUAGUCAACAAAUAUAAUUAUUUAAUAAAUACUCGUAUUUACAAUUGCAAAUUUAAAAGCUGGAGUUUAAAUAUAUAUACACGCAGGCUAUAAAAUUAUACAAAUAACAAGCAGUUCUAUCCAGAGAUCAAUCAUCAAAAAAUACUGUUUUUCAGUCUCUGAAACAUGCUACAGAUAAUAAUAAUAUUAAUAAUUACUUACUUUAUUAAUUAAAUUAAUUAAAUACCCUUCAUCUGUAGAUCUCAGGGCAGUUCACAACAUAAUUACAAUAUGAAAAACACAAAAUACAUAAUAAAAAUAAGAACAGAAGCAGACUAAUAACCCGCCCUCUCACAACACAUUUAAAUGGGCAUUGGAUGUCAGUCAGCUAAAGACCUGGUUGAAAUGGAAAGUUUUUGCUUGGCGCCUAAAGGUGAAGGUGUCAGCUGAACCUCCCUGGGGGCUCCACAAAUGGGGAGCUAGAGCUUCCCAGAUGGCAAAAGGAGAAGGUUCCAAAGAACACCUUUCCCAACACUGACCCACACAGUCAUCAGGAUCGUUGGAUGAGACUUGGUUGACUGGGCCUCAACUUGCAGUCUGCCAACUAGCAGCAACACAGAAGUGGUCCUUCUCCAUGGUAACACCUAUUUUAUUAUCCAGUGUGGGGAACCUUUAUCAGCCCAACGGCCACAUUUUCUUCUGGACAAUGUUCUGGGAACACAUGCAAGUGGCAGGAGGAGCCAGAAGCAAAAGUGAGUGGAGUUAAUGUGAAUUUGUACAAUAGGUCAGUUUCUACACAUGUGAACACACC
RNAcentral lists this long non-coding RNA (1901 nucleotides) under Podarcis lilfordi (Lilford's wall lizard). Lineage: Eukaryota; Metazoa; Chordata; Lepidosauria; Squamata; Lacertidae. The record is from RNAcentral.